AGAUUUGUGACAGUGACAGUAUCGUAGCCAAUGAGGUUUACCGGAGGCAUGAUUAUUGCUAAAAAUUCACAUUUGACUCCAUAACAUGACAUUGUUCUUUUUUAAAAAAAGAUUUAUUUA
This is a non-coding RNA of Canis lupus familiaris (dog), 120 nucleotides long. Lineage: Eukaryota; Metazoa; Chordata; Mammalia; Carnivora; Canidae. The record is from Rfam.